RNAcentral lists this long non-coding RNA (7854 nucleotides) under Nicotiana tabacum (common tobacco). RNAcentral's name for it is "long non-coding RNA (NTAB_LNC004516)". Lineage: Eukaryota; Viridiplantae; Streptophyta; Magnoliopsida; Solanales; Solanaceae. The record is from RNAcentral.
UAUUUUUCAGGGCUGACAGAUUCUCUGCACAUUCUCUCAUUUAUCUGCAUAUAAGACACACUCACACUCUCAUUUUGGACAGACUCAUUCUGCAUUUUCAAAAAUAUUUCCUCACUUUCACUCAAACAUCUUCCUAUACAUUCUCACUGAUUUUUUAGUUCCCUACUCUCCUCUCCUCACACAUAACCAUCUCACAUAAAAAAGGCUGGAAACAAGUUAUGAAAUUCAGAAUUUGAACUUCAAAUCUGAAAUACAAAAUCUAAACAAAAAAAUAGAAGAAAAACAAAAGAAAAGUAGUUUUAAAAAGAGAUCUCUACAAUUGUUGGAAGCUGCAACUGUUCAUCUUCAUAUUUCUGGUUUUCUAAAUAUUUUUGGAUCACAAGAGGCUGUUGAUUCUGUUGUUCCUGAGUUGCUGAGAUCCAAUUCCUAGUUUCAGACUUUUGCUUGGUUUUGUCUAGUGAUUUUCUGCAUUUAGGUAUGUUUUACAUUUUAUAAUCAUCUAGUUUGAAUCAAUGAAUGCAAAUCUGGUAUUUUAAAUGCUCUAUCAUGUGUUUAGUUUGCUUGUUUGAUACUGACUCCUUUUAGUUGUGUUGAUGUUGGCCUUACUAGUAUGGGUUGAACACUUUACUUGGUCUCGUUUUGUAUAUGAAAGAAUUUAAAAUCAGCUUAAAUGCAGUAGUUUGACUAAUUUAUGCUUAUAAUGGAAUGAAGUUCAGAUUGUUGAGUCGGUGGGUUUGAUCACCAGUUGGUCAAACUCAUUCAAUAAAAAGACUAAAUCCACAAUGUUGGCUCAAGCGAUUCUGCCACUGCACUGACAAGGAGGCAGCAUAACAACUAUAUUUAUUUUAGACUUAUUUAGGCCAAAAUUGUAGAGUCAAUUGCGAAUGCAUAAAUGAUUAUCUAUGUAGUAGACCCGUCUGGAUUUCAAGUAGCAGUUUCUUCUUGUUAAAUGUAUUAAUCUGUCGUAAAUGUAUGAAAAUAUUAAUCUGUACUACAUUUUUUCCUUGCUUCAUGGGGCCUGACUAUAAGUUGGCCCGCUUGGAUUGGUUUUCUACAUGACUGAAGUUUUCCGGCUCCAGUAGCAAGAGCCGCAUGACAUUUGUUUGGGCCAAUCUGAUUAAGCCCCUUCCAUUGUGACCAGGGCUCUAUUAAAGUCCAAUUCUCAAGCUUAAAAAAAUAUUGUAAUUGCUGGCUUGUAGUUCAAUUAGCUUUGUUUCAAGAUGUUAAUAUUUUUCUUUAAAAAGGACCAACUAAUGUCUUGGUUGGAAAUGAUUGUUUUUACAAACAUCUCAAUCAGUCUUAUAACUUUCUUGUGAACCAAGGUCAUACGGACUUAGGCCCCGUAAUGGCAUAACUACCUUACAGUUGUAUAAGAGCAAAAUGUUGAAUGUUCAGUUAUUUGUAAAAUUUAAAUUCUCCACCUUAUACUACUACGCUUAUCCAUAAACUCUUGGUCUUACAAUAAUCUCAAAUUAGCUUUAGGAAAUUAACAGCUUUCGAACAUCGUAGCUUGCUUUGGGCAUGAUUAAUAAUAAAUCAUCAUGACUAUGGGUUCGGUUCUCGUGGCAUAGUCAUGAUACGUAAAUCCCAAUUCAAGUGCGCGUUCACGCGACUUGAUCACAACUUUAAACAAUUAAAAUAAACAUGUAGUGAAUCACGGGUACGUUUCGCGUAGAGUGAUUUACGAUGUGUACAAAAAUGACAAGUGCACGACACCGUGACUUGUUCAAAUAAAUUUCAUAAUUGUUUAAAUUAAUUAAAAGCAGUAUAGAAGCGAUAACGCAUAAAAGGUUUUUUAAACAUGCAAUAAUUCAGAUAAUUAAGCCAAAUAUUAAUUGUUAACCAACCGUACUAAAACCUAAGAACUCGGGAGUACCGCACACCUUCUCCCGGGUUAACAGAAUUUUUUACCCGAUUUUCUGUAUUUGCGGACCGUAAAUAGAGUCAAUUUCCUCGAUUUGGGAUUUUAAAAAUAAACCGGUGACUUGGGAUACCAUAAUAAAUAUUCCAAGUGGUGACUCUAAUUAAAUAAAUAAUCUCAUUUCAAUAAUGUCACUUUAAUUGAAAAAACACCUUAUCCCCAGAAAAAAGGAGGUGUGACAACAGUGAUCAUGAGGAACAACAAGAAGAGAGAACUACUCUGACUGCUAAUCAGACAGAUGAAGCCAUACCUACUGAACCUGUUCCUUUGGGUCACUCCUUGGGUGAAUCUUCUCUGGGUAUACAGAUCAUGCCAUGGAAACAUCAAAGUUCACAUCCUCUUGAGAACAUCAUCUCUGAUCCAAAUACAGGAGUGCAAACCAGGUCAUCUCUGAGAAAUCUAUGUGCACUCACAGCAUUUCUCUCAUAGGUUGAACCUAAGACCAUCAAGGAAGUUAUAAAGGAUCCAGAUUGGAUUAUAGCCAUGCAAGAGGAGCUAAAUCAGUUUUAAAGAAGCAAGGUCUGGCACUUGGUACAAAUACCCAAGAACAGAAUUGUCAUAGGUACAAGAUGGGUGUUCAGAAACAAGGUGGAUAAACAAGAAAAUAUCACAAGGAACAAGGCCAAACUGGUGGUUCAGGGAUACAAUCAAGAGGAGGGCAUUGACUAUGAUGAGACUUUUGCACCUGUAGCUAGAAUGGAAGCUAUAAGAAUGUUGAUAGCUUUUGCUGCACACAUGGAGUUCACUUUGUAUCAGAUGGAUGUAAAGAGUGCCUUCUUGAAUGGUUAUAUAAAUAGAAAGUAUUUGUCAAACAACCUCAUGGGUUUGAAAGUGAAGAAUUUCCUAACUAUGUGUUCAAGUUAGAUAAAGCCAUGUAUGAACUGAAACAGGCUCCAAGAGCUUGGUAUGAAAGACUCAAAAUUCCUUUUAACCAACAAUUUUGUAAGAGGAAAGGUGGACAACACUCUAUUUCUAAAGAGCAAAGGAAAGAAUAUUCUGAUUGUGCAAGUGUAUGUGGAUGAUAUUAUCUUUGGGGCUACUAAUGAAGCAAUGUGCAAGGAAUUUGCUGAGAUGAUGGGAAAUGACUUGAAAUGAGCAUGAUGGGUGAACUGAACUUCUUCUUGGGCUACAAAUCAAGAAAACACCUACUGGAACCAUGAUACAUCAACAGAAAUACAUCAAAGAACCACUGAAGAAAUUCAACAUGGACUCCUCCAAGUCAAUUGACACUCCCAUUGCCAUUACAACAAAACUGGACUUUGAUGAAGAAGGGAAAAAUGUUGAACAUAAACUAUAUAGAGGAAUGAUUGGGACAUUAUUGUACUCAUAACAAGCAGGCCUGAUAUUAUAUUCAGUGUGAGACUGCAUGCAGAUUUCUAGCAAAUCCCAAGGAAUCUCACCUGAAGGCUGUCAAGAGGAUACUAAGAUAUCUCAAGGGGGGCCCUGACCUAUGCCUAUAGUAUCCUAUAGGGUAUAGCUUUGAUCUAUUUGGUUAUGAUAAUGCUGACAAUGCAAGCUUUCAUGUUGACAGGGAAAGCACUUCAUGGACAGCUCAUUUUCUAGGUUCGUAUCUGGUGUCUUAGGGAGAAAAGAAGCAAAACUCAGUGGCUUUAUCUACAGUUGAGGAUGAAUAUGUGGCAGCAGCAUCCUGCUGUGCUCAGUUGCUAUGGAUAAGACAGUAGCUAAGGAACUAUGGUAUUUUUAUUGAUUGUGUUCCCAUUUUCUGUGAUAAUACUAGUGCUAUAAACAUUGCUAAAAAUCCAUAUCAUCACAAAAGAAACAAGCACAUUAACAUUAGACACCACUUUCUCAGAGACAGUGUUGAAAAGAGGAAUAUCUCAAUUAAAUUUUGUAAAACUGAAGAUCUAAUUGCUGAUAUUUUUACUAAAGCUCUGAGUAGGGAUCACUUUGAAAGGAACAUACUAGAACUAGGUCUAAUUAAUACUUCCAACUAGAUGAACCCCAAUGAUUGGCUAGAAAAAGUAUAAUUAGAUGUAGAUAGUCAAGUACAAUGUGUUUGAUUCAGACUCGUGCUUGUAUUAAGCACACACACCUGCUUAGAAAAUCUGGCUGAUAACUAUGUUGCAUGAUAUUAAUGUGAAGUGCUAUUAUUUUAGUGCAGAAAAAAGUAAGGAGUUACUAAGGAGUUGGUUCUUCGACUCAGGUACGUGUCAUCUUGUCUUAAUUCACUAGGACUUAAUAUCCUAAAUUAUUUCUAUGCUCAAACUUCUAAUCCUGUUAGUAUCACUUCUGGUUGUCUUCUAGUCAAAAAGUAAGGGGGAAUCCUAGAUCAAUUAGAGUUUAAUUACUUCUGAAUUCCAAACAGUCAAAGUAAUUGUUAUAAGAGUACCGUUAGAACUCAAAUUCGGUCACCCUCUCUCUUCCAGUCAAAUAAGGAGUAACGUCUUUAAAAGUCCCUUAUGAUCAUCUUCUCAGACCUCACUGUUUCUCUCAAACCCUAAACAAGAAUCAAGAACAAAUAUCAAGAACCAAUUCUUUCUUCUCCCUUCAUCGAUUCUCUUCUCUGAUCACCAUGACUAAAUCUAGCCAAACCCCUUCUUAAGCCAAAUCAUCAUCCAAGAUUGAAGCAAAAUCUAAAAACAUGAUGCCCAAAUCAAAGAAAAGUGUCAAGCCAUCAAGUGAACCCGCACCAACACAUGUUCCUUCUCCAUCGAUAUCCUCCACUAUAUCUACACCAUCAUCCCAUGUUCCUGCUGCUCUCACCAUCCCACCUCCACUGCACCCUCACUUCCAAAACUAACCACCUAUGCAUAUGUGCUUACUACGAAAAAUACCUCUAAGUCAACAAAGUUCAAGGCUACUCUAAGAAAAUCUGUCAAGAAUAUCAAGGUAGUGCAUGAUGCUACUACUCAAGUGGACACAAUGGUCAAGGAAGCUAUGGUUUAGGGGGAAUCAGUGCCAGUCACUACAAGUCAAGUAUAACUCCCUCCUUCAAAAUUAGAUGUUCCGGUAUCCGCUAUAGAUGAUGCACCCUUAGACACUCUUCCACCCAUACGUGAGAAACUACAAGUGGAGGAAUUCAUUGUAGAAAAAAGUGCAGACAAUUUGGAGAAAGAGGUAGAUACCACUACUGUGGUGCUUGUGGUUGAAGGGGAAGGGAGUAAAGAAUCAGUGCAAAAGGAGGCAUCUGAUGGUCUUUCAUUCAGUUGGAUGGAGGAUGAUAAUGAUAAUGGGGGUGAAAAGGAAGAAGGAGUUGUGGGCGAUCAUGAGGAGCAUACUACUCAAGACAUAGCUAAUAAUAGGAAAAGAGUCAGAACGAGUGAGAUUCUGGAGAAGAGAAGGAGAGUGAGACGGGUGAUAGGCUAGGUGAACAAGUAAAUGAUUCUGCAGAAGAAGAAAAUAAUAGUAAAGAAGGGGGUAAUUCUAAGAGUGUAUAUGAGGAUCAAUAAAAGGCAAGUGAGAGUGAAGGAGUGGAUAAAGAAAAUGAGGAAGAGAAUGAGGAUAUGAGUGAGCAAUAUGAAGGCUUUAUGGCCAUUGGGAAUACUGUCAUAGCCCCUUCAGAAGAAGCAAGUGGAAAGAAAAGGACUAAAGAACUAGGGCCCUUGUUAACUUAUUUCACUGGAGAUGAAGAGGUCAGCAGUGAUGAAGAUGACUUGCCCUUGUCUGAAGCAGGGAAGAAACCCAGGAAGAAUCCUGUGAAAGCAACUAAGUUUGCAGUCCCAAUAAUGAAAGAAGUGGCUCCUCCUGCCAGGACUCCUCUUACAAGGAGUAAAAAAUGUUGUUGAUGAACAAAUUAUUAAGGAGUCCAGAGGUGCCAAGAAGCCAAGGAAGAAAGUUUCAAUUGUGGAACCUGUGGUUGAGUUGGAUGGAGAAGAUGAGUUUGAGUCUGUUUUGCCAGAAAAGUCCUCUACACAAAAGAGAAAGGUUUCCAAAGCUACAAAAAUUGCUACCCCAUCUGCAAGGGACAGUAGAGGAAAAAAGAGAAAGAAUGUGCCAGUUGUGGUUGAUAGACUCACAGAGUUCAGGAAUAGAAAAGUGCUUAAUGGGAAGAUUCUUGCAAACACUAAUGAAAAAGGGAUGGCUCAACUGGUUGAAAAACUUGAGCUGCAGGGAUGUAAGCACAUGUUUGUCAAAGCUUUCCCCAUGUAUGUGUUCCUGCUGUGGUGGAGUUCUAUGCAAACUUUCAAUUUGAUGGAAAGGUAGUCAAAAGUAAUGUGAGGGGGUUUGAAAUGGAGUUUGAUGCUGAGGAGCUAGGGAUGCUUCUGAAUAUUUCUUCUUUGGGAUUUGACAAUUACUUGAAGAAAAAGUGUCCAUCCAUAGACAAUGAUGUUGACACUAGAAUUGUGGUCACAAGAAAGUUCUCCCAAAAAUUUGAACUGGAUGCUCCCAGAAGGUGUACAAUACUGAUAUGACUCCCUUCCCCAAGUUGUUGUUUCAUUUUGUCAAUUCCUGCAUUCUUCAGGCAUCUAAUAGAAGGCAUGAAGCUACCCUGUUGGAUAUGGCUGUAAUGAAAAUACUUGACACUGGUAGACCUAUCAAUCUCCCUAGCCUGAUGAUUCAGCAUAUGGCAAGAGCUGCAGACACUUCCAAGCCUAAGCAUGAUAUACCUUAUGGCUUCAUAUUGACUGAGUUGUUUGACAAGCUCAACAUUGCCUUGCCUGAGUUUAAGUAAGAGGUUAGGAGUUGGCUGUUGAAAAGAAUGCCAAGCUUCGUGAAGAUAAUGAUGAGCUGAGAAAAGAAACCAGGCAGCUUAGGGAAGAGCUCAGAAAAGAUAGGGAAGCUCAUGCCCAACAGAUUGACACUCUUGUGAAAUUAUUGACCCCCUCUACGUCUCACUCAUGAACUUGUUCCUUCCCAGUGUCCUUAGUUUCCUUUUGCUAUCCCAGUGAUGAUUUAAUUUAUUUUCUUCUAUUUUAGUCUGAGUAGCUUGCAGUAUGUUUACUUUAUUUUGAUUUAUGGUUUAAGACAAGGCUCGGGCUUCUUUAGGCACUACUAAAUGACUUCUCUUGUACUGUUUUAAUGCUUCGUACAGUAUUGGAUCUUCAGCCUAGUAUGUUUUCCUAGAAAAUUCUUGAGCUUGUGUUGUAGCUUGUAUGGCCUUGAAUCUUACAUUAACUGUGUUUCAUCUGUCUAACAUCUUUUUAUUUUUUUUUCGAUGAUGCCAAAAGGGGGGAGAUAAGGUUGGGGGCAGUGAAUAUGUCUGUUUAUGGUGAAUAAGCAUGUCUUACUAUGAUUACCCGGUUCCGGUGUGGACAAAGUUUGUCAACAUUAAAAAGGGGGAAUUUGUUGAGUAUUGAGAUUUUGAUGAUUAACAAAGUUUGUUAAGAUUCAAUGUUCGAGAACCAGGUCCUUAAUGAAGUUGCUUCACUGUUUUAAGAACCAGGUCCUCAAGGCAAAGGAUCAGCUCCUCUGAUUGAUGAUUGUACAUCUGUGCAAAAUAGUAACUUAUCUCAAAGUUACUCAGGUCCGUGUUUGGUGGAAGAAGGCCGCUACAUGUGAUAAGGGUUGUUGCCCAAGAAGAUACGAAUAAUUCAGUAAGAGACAAGAGUCACAAAACUUGUGGAGUCCUUGGAACAGUAGGAGUCCUAUCAAACGAGAAGUUGACUAUGCAUAGGACUCCUAGAAGAUCUCAAAGUUCAUUCAUUAAAAUACUAUCUAUUUUGGACUUCUCAAUUCAUCCUUUUACACAUCAACUGAAGAAUUAUAUUUUGUUCACUCUAGUCGAGUACCAGUAGUUUAUUCUUCUUGAGUCAGUCUAGUGAAUGUGUUCUAGGAAAUCGAGCUGUAAUCAAGUGUCACAAGUAAUUACUGAGUUGGAGUGAGUGUUUCCUUUACAAGUUAGAGUAACUUGUAAAUCAAGUAGUCGUAGUAGCAGUACUUGAGAGUAUUGAAUUACAGUCUUAUAAUUGAUAUAUUUUGGCUCAUUGUUCUAGUGGAGUUGAAGUUGAAAUCCCUACAUAGUAGGUCGUGGU